CACGAAGCUGGAAUCGCUAGUAAUCGCGGAUCAGAAUGCCGCGGUGAAUACGUUCCCGGGUCUUGUACACACCGCCCGUCACACCAUGGGAGCCGGGAAUGCCCGAAGUCUGUGGCCCAACCGAGAGGGGGAGCAGCCGAAGGCAGGCCUGGUGACUGGGGUGAAGUCGUAACAAGGUAGC
This 181-nucleotide ribosomal RNA is filed under the name uncultured bacterium. RNAcentral's name for it is "partial 16S ribosomal RNA". It matches the Rfam family "Bacterial small subunit ribosomal RNA", at positions 1319 to 1500 of the family's 1533-position model. The record is from RNAcentral.